This 478-nucleotide ribosomal RNA is filed under the name uncultured organism. RNAcentral's name for it is "partial 16S ribosomal RNA". It matches the Rfam family "Bacterial small subunit ribosomal RNA", at positions 332 to 801 of the family's 1533-position model. The record is from RNAcentral.
UACACUCCUGCGGGAGGCAGCAGUGGGGAAUUUUGGACAAUGGGCGAAAGCCUGAUCCAGCAAUGCCGCGUGAGUGAAGAAGGCCUUCGGGUUGUAAAGCUCUUUUGUCAGGGAAGAAACGGUGAGAGCUAAUAUCUUUUGCUAAUGACGGUACCUGAAGAAUAAGCACCGGCUAACUACGUGCCAGCAGCCGCGGUAAUACGUAGGGUGCAAGCGUUAAUCGGAAUUACUGGGCGUAAAGCGUGCGCAGGCGGUUUUGUAAGUCUGAUGUGAAAUCCCCGGGCUCAACCUGGGAAUUGCAUUGGAGACUGCAAGGCUAGAAUCUGGCAGAGGGGGGUAGAAUUCCACGUGUAGCAGUGAAAUGCGUAGAUAUGUGGAGGAACACCGAUGGCGAAGGCAGCCCCCUGGGUCAAGAUUGACGCUCAUGCACGAAAGCGUGGGGAGCAAACAGGAUUAGAUACCCGUGUAGUCCCAUGAU